Molecule: long non-coding RNA, 1136 nt
Organism: Amphibalanus amphitrite
Lineage: Eukaryota; Metazoa; Arthropoda; Thecostraca; Balanomorpha; Balanidae
Exons: 3
Source: RefSeq, a predicted model, not a curated record
CAAAGGGAGAUAACACGGAACUUUGGCCGCCAGGUGUCACUGUUGGCGUUCCUGCUGAUUCAAUUUGCGCCGGUGCCGUUCGGAGCCGUGCCGUGCGGUGAAAGUGAGUGAAAUAUUGAGGAAGUAGUGAGUCACAUGUGUCAUAAUACCUAAAUUUGGAAGAAAAUAGCCCAGUGUUGUGUCUAUGGCUGCUCGGAGAAUGGUGGGUUUGUAUUUUCUCGCGACAAGAGGCCGAGGAAGAUAGGUAUGGCUCAGGCUGCAACGGAUUUCAUCCCACCAAACACUUGAUUGUGUGUCGGAAGCAUUUCACCGACGAUGAUUUUUUGGAAUAUACUGCCUACGGUACAAGAACGGGCUCAACAGGCAGAGGAAAUGGAGAAGAGUGCUCCACCUCCACCUGACGUUGCGCUUAUGAGGAGUGCGACACUGAAGGGGGGUGUGCUGCAUCACUGCGGGGCUAUCUGAUGGUGCUGUCAAUAUCAGCACCAGGCAGGGUUCAAUGUCCAAGAUCUGUUAGCCUGUCGUGAUGUACGUGUCAUAACACCACCGUUCCUUAAAGUGAAGUCCCAGCUCUCUCCCGCCGAACGCACUCAGUCGCUCGCUAUCACGAGGGAUCAUAUCCAUGUCGGGCGUAUGACUGGUCUGAUCAAGACUUACUCGUUUCUUAGGGGGCAAAUCGAUGCCGGUUACGUACCUGUUCUUUCAGACAUAUUCCGUCCUGUGUGUCUCGUCUGUAGCCUGCAGAAAUCGCUCAUGCAGGUGGCGGGGAUGUGCGCGCUCUGGGACGUUAGCAUUAGCAGACUGAGCUUCACCGUCUCAUGUUUAUUGUAUACAUGCCUACAUUUGUGAAUGGUGCAUUGGAGGGCUACAUGUGUAUGCUGGUGCACAGUGCAUUGCUUGAAAGCUGUAUGUUAUUUUGUAAUCGGUGAUAGGUAUUGAAUGCUUUUGAGUUUUGGAGCUUGCCUUGUCGAAGUGGUUUAGCUAGUAGGUACUCUGCUAUGUUUCGAUGUCAGUUAAAUACACCGCUGUUGACUAUCAUACACUGCUUCAAAAGCUAUGUGUUGUAUUCGCCAUCGCGCAGUGACGCUCAUAAGUCAUGAGUUCAUUGGCAUGAAUAGAAACGAACGAGUACUGUC